GUCAUAACCUCCAUAUGACAGUGUGUACUGCACCUGCGUUCGAGGUCUCUUUGGGCCAUUGCCAAAUCCACCCCCUGUAAAGUUGGCCUUGCCAUCAACCCAUACAGGUGAAAUCUUUCCAAAAGGAGAAGAACUAGAGUUGUUUCUGUUACGAUGUGGCAAACCUCCUGGGCCUGAAGGGUUGGGACUCUGGACCAUGCGAUCACCCGUUCCAGUAAUAUUAGAGCUCCGUACCACAUCACUUGUAACGGUAUGGUUUGGGCUGGAAAUCAGGUCAUUGCCUGUAUUCAGACUCAAAUGAGACUCCUCUCCCA
Molecule: unclassified non-coding RNA, 314 nt
Filed under: Hevea brasiliensis (rubber tree)
Lineage: Eukaryota; Viridiplantae; Streptophyta; Magnoliopsida; Malpighiales; Euphorbiaceae
Source: RNAcentral